CCGAUAGCAAAUUUCAAAAAAGCUUUCAUUUCUGUUAUCCUUAUCUCUUCAAAUCUUCUAUGGAGACUCUUCAAGCUGGGUGUCUCGGCCAUUUCUCCUCUUGUUCACAUUGAAUAUGGGUGAAAACUGCUCCCUUUAGGUACUUUUCUUCUCCUUUUCUUAAUUCUUCUUUUGCAAGUUCGUGGGCAUAAAUAUUCCCUGAUCUUUGAACAAUUUGGAAGUUGAUUUCUUGGAAAUGUUGUUUUUCACUUUGAAUGUCUCGAAUAAUCGCCCUUAUAACUGAUUUAUCUGUCGCUGCUGAGUUGUAUUUUUUUAUGACCGCUUUUGAAUCUCCUAUGAUAUCUACUGAUUGAAAACCCAUUGAAAUCCCUAACUUUACUGCUUGUAACCCUGCAUGUGGCUCUGCCAUGAACGGAGACGGUAUUGUGGAAUGGAGGACUGUCUUUGAGGCUAAAAACUCACAUCUCCCUCCACACCACCAAACCUGAGGCUUAUUUGGAGUAUUUACCGUCAAAAGCUGCAUCAAAAUAAAUUGCUACUCUCGCAUUUCUUUCUUCCUGUCUCUAUCUUCUACUAUCGUUUGAGGUAAGUGGCUUUUUUUCCACCCCAUCGAUCUCUACUAUAUAACUUUGGAUUCGGUUCGAUAAAUCUCUUCCUGUUAUUAUUUUCCCCUCGUGAACUAACUGGUUUCUUGAACUCCAUAUUGUCUAAACAGCAGAGCAAAAAAGUCGACAUUGUUUGCUGUUACCCAUGGUGAAGACCCAAGUAAGCCAUUUCCACAAAUCUUGAAUAUUAGUAUUAAUGACCCAUGAUAGAUUUAUGUUUUACCAUGUCUCUGUUGUUGUAGGGCAUUGUAUGAAAACAUGGUUGCUAUCUUCUUCUGCAUUUCGACACCGAGGACAGGAAAUAUCUACAGCCACUCUUUUGAAUCUUAGAUUUGUUAAAGUAGGAAUAAAGUUCUAGGAAAUACGUCAUAUAGUGAUAGCAAUUUUUUAUGGGAGAUGUAAAGUAAAAUUUUUUUGUUUCGGCCUGUAUAAAAUAAGCACUAGGAUCCAUAAUAACCUCUUGUAAUAGUUUGUAGGCACUUCUGACUGAAAAUUCGCAAGAAUGUUCUCCUCGCCAAACUUGGAAAUCAUCAUGUUCUUCUUCUGCCGGAGGAAUUUGCAAAAUCUUCUGUGUUGUAUCCGCUUGAAAGGUAUUAACUCUUAGAUCUAUCUUUCAUUUUCUUGUUGAAGCAUCAAUUAAAUCUAAAACUAACUCUACUUCUGCAUUGUUAGAAUUGUCAUUGAUUCUCUCUGUCAACUCUCGGUACCCACCGGUCGUUCCAAACAGAUACAUGAUCUCCCCUACCGACUUGCCAACAUAAGCUAUCUUUCAGUAACCCUUUUGCUGCCCAAACGCUCUUUCAGGUAAGAAAAGGUAAAUUCCCUAACUGUGCAUUAAUAAAGUUUGAAUUUGGGUAGUAUUUGGCUUUUAAGUCCUUUGCUAAUAAAGAAUUUUGAAAAUUAAUAAGGCGCCAACCUUGCUUGGCUAAUAAAGCGAUAUUAAAUUGACCAAGAGUUUGAAACCCCAAACCACCAUUUUUUUUGUGGUACAAAGAUCCUUCCAAGCUUACCAACGAAUGCCCCUUUUGCCACGAUCUUUUUGCCACUAGAAUUUUGCAGUAAUACUCUUAAGAUCAACACAUAAAUAUUUAGGUAGUAAAAAAUAGGCCAUCGUAUACAUCGGAAUAGCUUAAAGAAUGGCCUUAAUAAAAACUUCUUUCCCAUAUUGAAUGGCCUUAAUAAAAACUUCUUUCCCAUAUUGAAUGAGAUGCUGAAUACUCUAGUUUUCAUUUCGUUGCUUAAAUCUAUCCUUUAAGUUUUGAACAAGCUCUUUCUUCUUUCUGCCCACCAUAUUAGGUAAUCCAAGAUAACAUUCUGGAUCAUUUGAGCUUCGUACUCCUAAUGUGCGAGUAACUAAUCCUCUUUCUUCCUCUUGUGUAUUAGUGUUAAAGAAAAUAGUUAACUUCUCAAAAUUGACGCACUAACCUGAAUAGGUUCCAUACUCGCGUAGAAUUGUUUUCAAUAAACAAGCUCUCCUUUCAGUAGCAUCUCCAAGUAAAAUGCAAUCAUCAGCGAAUAACAAUAUAAUACUUGUGGCCCUUUUUACUAGCUUUAACCUUUUUUAAUUGUCCUUCUUGAAUUGCCAAUCUCAUAAGACAAGAUAAGCCUUCUCCAUAGAUCAGAAAUAAAUACGGGCUCAAAGGAUCACCUUGUCGUAAUCCUCUCGUUGGUUGAAAACUUUCCCCAGCUUAACCAUUAAGUACCACUGAAUAAGAAACAGUAGAUACGCACUUCAUAAUACAAGCAAUCUAGCUAGGGUCAAAACCCAUUCUCAUUAUCAUCUCCUAUAUAAAAUUUCAUUCAACUCUAUCGUACGCUUUACUCAUGUCGAGUUUAACUGCUAUCAACCUCUUUUUUCUAAAUUUUUUUCGUUUUAGAGUGUGUAAAAUUUCAUAUGCCAAUGAUACAUUAUCCGAGAUUAACCUUCCUAGCACAAAAGCACUCUGUGUGCCAUCGAUGCAUUUUUCCAAGACUUCUCUAAGUCAAUUAGUAAUAGCCUUUGCCAUUAUUUUAAAAAUGACAUUGCAUAAGCUAAUAGGACAAAAAUAAGUGAGAUAGGUCGAAUUUGCUCUUUUAAGAAUAAGCACAAUAUGAGUAGUAUUAAUUGGACUAAGCUUCGUACCUCCAUUUAGAUGUUGAAGACAGAGAAGUGUGACCUCUUCCCCAAUGAUAUACCAGCAUUUCUGAAAAAAUAAGGUCGGAAACCCAUGUGCUUUUGUAAGCCCCAUUCUAGUAAGCACUUCCCAAACCUCUUCCUUUGUAUAUUGCACCGUGAGUCUUUGAUUAUCCUCUUCAGAUAUACAACGUUCAAUACCCGAUAAGAGAUGUUCAUAAUGUCCCUUUUCCCUAGCUUCAAAUAAAUUUUGGAAAUAAGAUUUAGCAAUUUCUGCCAUUUCUUGUAUAUCCUCCGUUUCCCUUCCCGUCAUAUUCUAUAAUUUUCAAAUACAAUUUUUCCUUUGUCUUUGUGUUGCUUGACUAUGGAAAAAGGUUGUAUUCCUAUCCCAAAAUUUCAGCUAAUUAACUCGAGCUCUUUUCUCCCAAUAUCUUUCAUCAUUCUCAAUCUCAAAAUUCAAUUGCAAUUUUGUAUCAAUCAGCUUUGCUAAAUUAUUAUCACUCAUUUUGGAUUCCAUCACCUCAGACAGCUUUGAGGAUAAAAAUUCUUUUUUCCGUUUUCUAGACUGACAAAUGCGUACAGCCCCUCUCUCUUAGCCUUUUUUUAGACAAUCCAGCUUUUGUAGUAAACCUUCUGAUGUCGUUUCCCAAAUGAGUUUUAUUUUAGCAUCGAAUAACUCCUCCAAGACCCACCAUGUCUCGAAUUUAAAUGUUUUCCAACUCCUAUUGUCUUCUGUUUUCGUGAUAAUUAGAAGAGGACAAUGGUCAGAGAACGAGUGCACCAGAUGUUAAAUGGUAGCUUCAGGGAAUAUAGACAUUCAAUUCUCGUUAGCCACACCUCUGUCCAAAUGCUCUUGGAUAUUUGUUUCAGGAAAAUUUCCUCUCUCCCAAGUAAACCAAUUACCAGAAUAACCCACAUCCGUCAGAUGACAAUCUUCUAGAACAUUUCGAAAUACUUCUAUUCUUCUUUUGUCUCUAGGCAACCCUCCUUUCUUUUCAAAGCUAUACAUAAUUUCAUUAAAAUCUCUACAAACAAUCCAAGGGAAUUCCUUAUUGCUAUAUAGAUUUUUUAAUAGAUUCCAUGAUUCAUCCCUAUCUUGUGUGUAACGGGAACUAUAAAAUCUUGUAUAUCUCUAUUUUUUCCAUCGUCAGUAUCUUCAAUAAGCACGUCAAUGUGCCUUUUUGAAAAAUUUUGAAGUGUGAUGGUAGCGUCACCUCUUCAAGCCAAACAUAAACCUCCUCUAGAUCCAUCGGGGUCCACAUCAAUGCCAUUACCAAGGCUAUAGCUUCUUCGCACUCGUUCUAUUUGAAUUAUGUUUAUCUUUGUCUCCAUGAAGAAGACCAUCUAGGGAUUAUAUUUUUUCAACGUAUGCCAAAGCUUUCGAAUUGUUCGUGGGUUCCCCAAACCACGGACAUUCUAACUUAAAAUUUUUAUUGCGAUCGGUCAGUUUACUUUUUGGCAACCUCCGAUGAUAAAAAAGUAUUGUCCAACAUCCUCUUAUUUCUUGCUGUUACAGUAUUGCCUUCUUCUCUUAUUGUAGGGUAUUCACUUUCCCCCUAGGCAUUUUUUUCCUUCCUCUCCAAUUAGCACCCUUUCCUCCAAAUCAUGUUUCAUUACAGAGUGGGUCUGUUUGGCCAAUAAAUUUUCCCCCCAUUGUGAAAAAGAGGGUAAAUUAACUUCAAAUUGAACCUCAAGACAGGGUCGAUAGAUACUCUAGUUUUUGACUUAUUUCUAUUUCUUCAUGGCCUGUAUUCUAAGUUGUGUUCGCCAUAGAGAUUUCUACAUGUGUCGUCUUCUUCAUCUUCAAUUAACCAAUUACUCUUCAUUACCAAAGGCUUUUUGGGUUGCGCUCGUAAAGAGAAGUUCCAACCCAUCACCACAACUUCCACCUCUAACGUCAUUUUUGCCUCACAAAAAGAAUCACUAUGAUCCAGCUAACCACAAUAGAAACAAAAAAGAGUCAGCCCUUCAUAUUUUAAUAUGACUUAGGAACACUUCCCUGAGAACAUAACCUGCUUUUUCCUCUUUAAUGUGUAAUGGACAUCCAAUUGAACUCGAAUUCUCAUAAAAUUCGUAUUAGCUUUCCCUAGAUUUGAACUAUCAUGGGCCAAAAAUUUUCCUAAAAAUUCACCUAGUUGCAUUGCCAAACUUUCAGAAAAAUACCCUAUUGGAAUAUCAUGGAUCUGUACCCAAAAAGGCGAAAAGAUUAAAGGGAUUUUCAAUGGAUCCUCCCCCCAUUGUAGUAUGUAUAGAACCAAUAAAUGAUUAUUAAACGUUCAUGGAAAGCCCUUCAGAACUCUGUCGAUAUCCAUAGCAUGAAAAAAUUGAAACAAAAAUCAUCUUUCUCCUAGAUUACGGAUUUGAACGCCUCUAACUGGGUGCUAUAAGUUCGCCAUGGUGCUUUUCAUUGCUAGGAAAUGAAUAACACUAGCUAUUAAAAAGCAUCCCACCAGUCGAAAAGUACUUUCUUCCUUUUCCAAACCCGGCUCAAUUUGUGCUUGUAAAACUGUUUCUUCUUCUUCAUCAAACGUUAAUUCGGCAAAUUCAUUUUCCAUUAUUGCAUGCUAGAGAUUAAGCCCCAUUGUGUGCUAUCCUGAAAGAUGAGAAGAGAUUCUAAUAGACUGCUGUAACCAAAAUUUAACUUUGAACAAAAUAACCCAAAAAACUUAAGAACAUGUAAGAGAGGCAGAUGCAUGCGUGUUAGGGUAGCAGAAUUUUUAGUUAGCUCACUUUUAUUUUGGGUUUUUAGUUUUUAUUUAUUUACAUAAUAUGUUAUAAAGUUAUGUUUUGAAGAUUGUAAAAUCGUGAAAAAUGUGUUUUUUUCCUUAUUUUAACAUAUGAAGUGAUUGUUGUCUCUAAAGAUUUGUUUUACAUGAAGGCGCAAAGUAUAUUUUUAGUUUUAUUAACAUGGUUUUUGUGUGUUUUAAUGAGCUUGAAAUCUUGAUGCAAUGAGCUUACUACUGUCAUACAAGGUUUUUGUUAGCUUGAUCAUAUAUUGUAUAAAGUUUAUGUUAUUUUGGAAAAAAGUGUAGAUAAACCUAUGAUGAAUCUGAAGAUGAUUUUUCUUUUUCUUUUUCUUUUUUGAUGUUAUAAUGCGAAAUUGAUUAGUGCAUGUAAUAUUACAUUGCACCUGAUCAAUUGGUUAACAUGUUAUUAUUAUCAUUUUUAUGUGAAAUUAGAUUUUUAUAGGUUAUUUAAUCUUUUAAAGUGGCUAAAGAUCUUUAGAAUUUGAUUUGUGAGAUUUGGAAGUACCAAAUCUUGAAGAGACAACAUGAAAAAGAAAUUCAAACUUAGACAUUAGAUGCUAAUUCAAUUAAAAAUUAGGCAAAGAAAAGAAUAAGAAAGGAGAAACAAAUUGAAAUAACUUUUUCUUGGUGGGCAAUUUUUGGAUCUUAGAAACAUGAAAUUUUAACUAACAUUAGAAAAAGAUUCAUAGGAACAAAAUCAAGAUUGAAAAAAAAUUAGGUAGCGACUGAAAAGAUAGAUGUGAAGAUGAACAAAAGGCGAUGUAUGAUGGAAACUUUUGAAGAAAAACUUCAUCAAACUCCACUAAAGGUUCUAGCCAACCCUCUAAAAAAAGUCUUAGCAAACCGAAGUGUGAAAAACAACAACCUUGAUUCAUGAAAAGAAAUAGAGUUGCAAGUACUUCUAAAAAGAUACAAGAAAAAAAUCUUGCAAAAAGAGAACUCUAGAAGUUAUUAUUCAUAAAAGAAUGAAACUAAAUCAUGUACAUAGAGGGCGUGAAUUGCCUUUUAUAUGUGAAAACUAGGAUAAAUUGAGUCCUAAUCACACUCAAAUUACCUAAAUCUCCAAUAACAGGUAAAAACCCUACAUGAUUAUAACUUAACCUAAUAGGAGGAAAUUUGGCUAGCCUAUAUGUAUAGGCUAUUUGAACCAAAUUUUUAACUAGGAAAUAUCAAAUAACUUAAUAAAUAAAUUGCCUAUAAUGAGCCAAUUAACAAACAUGCCAAAAUAAAACUUAAUAAAAUAAACUAAGUCUUAAAAGAAUAAAACACUCAAAAUGGGUUGUUCUUCAUAGGCUCGACAUUGUGCGCUGAUUUGCACAAUAAUGCACAUAAACUAAGCUUGUUAACAUCCUCCAAAUGGGUUGGUCAUCAUGGAUUGCAUUCUUGAGCCCAAGAAUGGGUUUGUGGCCUUCUGAUUCACCCUCUUUGUUUAAGAUAGAUCAAAUUCUAUCAUUUUGAAACAUUAACUCGUUUUCUUGCAUACUUUUGGUCAUAAGGUCUUGAAUGAGCAUAUUAAGCUCAAACUUAAACUGUUUGGACUUGCAUAUCAUAAUUGAGCCUUGAGAAAAAUGAAGUCUAUCUUCAUCAUGGGCUUGAGAUUAGGCCUUGGAGCUCGUAUCAUUCUCCAUUCCUCAAAACGAUUCAUCCAUGAAUCUACAAUGUCCAAGGGAGAAAGAUUAGUCACAUUAUCUCAUGCUUAGUCCCUUUCUUAUCAAAAAGUCUGCAAAAUCUUAAUUCUUGAACUCACACUUGUGAUCAAUUUUAAUCCUCUUAAUCAUUCCAAUGACAUGGCCUUUAUCAUUCAUAAAGCCUCUACAAAGUUUUCUAAAUUCAUCAGAGGUGCUAGAUUUGUCUCUAAGGAAUCUUUCCCAAGAAAACUUGAAAAUCCAUCUACACAAAUAAGCACAUAACGUUUUUCACUUAUGCCGAAAAAUAGUGGUGUCAUUGUUUGAAUGUGAACCAAUUUUUUAUGCUUUUCCCUGUGUUGCUUGCCUUUUAAAGAGUUACCACACACUUAAAGAAUGGAGCCACUCAGCUUUAGAAUCCCUCUGAUAGAAUCAUAUCGAACUAGCCUUUAAAGUUUAUAAUAGUUUAUAUAGUCAAGCUUCUCGUGCCAUAACUUUGGUCUGAAACAUUAGCAUUAUUGCAUUUGAUAGAUUGAAUCACUCUAUAGUAGUUGUAAAAUGUGUGAGCCCUGUAAUGCCCUCAACUCGACCUGGUUCUCUAGGUCCGAAUCUCAAGUGGUACUACACACAAUACUUAACCAAAUAUCAAAUAGUUAACAAACAUUCCUUGCUUAAAACAUUUUACUUAUUAAUUUAAUUAAGAAACUUGAGCUCUAAGAAUAAGAGACAGUAUUAAAAAAUAAAAUUUUAAUCCAAACUUGUUACAACACAUUACAGUAUAAAGUUUGUGAAUGGCAGAAUCUUAAGGUGUAACGUUAAACUACACUACUUCUCCCUUGUAUGCAUAAUAUUCCAAUUUUCCACUAUUCUGGCGUACUCUUGGAAUUGUCCCUCCUAGCGUAUUCUCAUACCAUACCCAUGAAACAACAACAAACAUUGUAAGUUCAAAAGAACUUAGUGAGCUUUAUCAUAAUAAUACCUUAGCAGAUAGUUUAUAAGAUUGGAAGAACAUCAGUGUGCUAGUUACCCUUCUGAACCACUUACUUCCAUUUUAGGCAGAUACAAUUCUGGCAUACACUUCCACACCAACUAUCAUACUCUUGAUAUACCAGUUCUUUCUUAAUAGUCUAACUGAAGAUCCUUUUAGACAUUUCAUAAAUCGUACGCACUUCUCAAAAGAAUAUACCUUCAGAAUCAAAUUUAUAUAAAUCAUUUCUUAACACACAAACUUAUCCUAGAACAGUUGUUCAUAGAUAUUAAUCACUAGCAGAUACAUACACAUUUGGUGAAUACUUACGCAGAUCUGAAUACCAUCAAACUACUAAUCAAAUCAUACAUUGGUUCAAUACCAUACAAACUCUCACUGAUAAUGUACUACACAGAUAAUUCAGAUGAAUUCCACAUCACUUUAUUUAGGAACCUCAGAUACUCAAGAUAGCGAUAACUCAGAUUCAAUAUACUUUCAGAAGAAGAUAUUAUACAACUCAGACAUAAUAGAUUCCAAAUAACUCAGAUUCAACCAUUUCCUAACUCAGACAAACUUGAAUUGACAAUUUCUUAUGUCUUUCAUAACCAUGAAUACACCUAUUUUCAAAACAAACAAAUUGCCAGGGUGGAUAUCCUUUUUAACUUGCAGAUACACACUUCUUUUCAGAACUUCCUUAUCUAAUUCAACCAAAUUAACCUUAGAUAUUCCAUGACCUUAUCAUAGAAGUAUCUAUCACAGAACAAUCAGAAACUACCAAAAGGAUGGAUAAGCAUACCUUGCUAAACAGAUUUAGUAGAGUGCGUCAUAAGGGCCAAACAGAAUACGCCAUAAAGGCAUCAUACAGAUUCAUGUGUUUAUUAUCCCAGCGGACUUUCAUAGAAGGUGUCAUGGGUGUCUCCUUCAUUGACUUAUACAUAAGUUCAUGUAUCGUGAUAUACCCAUUCAAUUUACACAUCAUCGAAGGUUACACCAUGAACAUUCAUACAGAUAUAUCUUGCCAUGGGUCUUAACCACAUGGCUUUGCACACAUUCAUGUAUCGUGAUCUAUCAAUCUAGUCUUCAUUUUACUGGAGGCUACACCAUAAGUGUUUCCAAAUCAUAUCACGAUAUCAUGGGUAUCAACCUCAUGGUCUUACACUUGCUUUCAUAUCGUGAUCUACCAACUGGUUAGCAAUCUAACUGUCCUACCAGACACUUCAGAAAGGGACAUUUCCCAUAAUUUAAUUACCUAGAUUUAUUUGCAUUCUAGAUUGUCUCAUACAUUUCAUAUCUUAAAUUUUACUUGCAUACUUAUCAAUCAACAUUCACCUUCAAUAAAACUUAUUAUAUAUCAUCAUAGCACUUAUUUCCUCUUAACUAUACUCGUACACUUACCUCUUAUUAUAAAUGCCAUCAUCUUAUAUACAUAUAUAUAUACAUUUUCUUAUACUUGAAAAGUUUAUAUAAGAAAGGGUGAUACCAUCUUAAAUUUGCACGAUUUUUUGUCUUUAAAUCGAUUAAUUAUUGAAUUAAUCCCUGCUAAAUUAGUGAUUUUAUAUUUUAAUUCUGUCAGGAAUGCAAUUGGGAUGCUAUGAGUCAAAAACAAGCAGAAAAUGACCAAUUUGCAGCACAGUCAAUAAAGUGAGGCCAAAUCAGGAACUUGGAAAUAAUCAAGGACUUAUCAAAUUUCUUUUGACCUUCUAAAAGCUAAAAUUAGAAGAAAAUCUUAUUUUAUUUUUAUUUAAUUCUAAUUUUUUGUAGUGGGUAGUUAGGCCAAAUUUAGUAAAUUAUUUGUAUAUAAAUAGGGCAUUUGUGGUAGCUUGAAAACACACUUGAAUUUACUUAAACAAUUAAAUUAAAUUAUUUUUCCCUUCCAAUUUUAUACGUGUAGCAUACUGCCAUUUCAUUUCCAUUUGCUUGUUUCUUUAGUUUAAUUGCUUUCCAAAUCCCUUCCUUUUCUAACUUUCACCAAUUUUCAUUCAAAUCCACUCCAUAUCUAAUCAAAGCGUGAUUAAUUUCAUGCUUCAUUAAAUUCUAACUUAGCUUUAGGCCGGUAUUCUUUCCGUUCAAAAAUUGUGAGAUACGUAUUUGUACUAAAAAUCCUUCCAAUCGGUAUUCACUAUUUCUUCUAAAUAUCAGGAUUGAGAAAUUCAUCCCUUAAAGUUAAUUCGAUUUCUAAUCAAAAAGUGCGUUGGGUUGGAGUCGUAUUUACAAACAGUUGGAGAAACAAGUCGUCCGUGCUGUAUUUAGAUCUCCGAGAACAAAUCAAAUGAGAUAGUGAUCAGGUUUAAAUGUCUCGCGUGGUUGAGGCCAUUAAUCCAAGUUGGGUUCUUUAGAGCGCAAGGUUACCGGAAUCUUGAAUGGGGAACGCGUAUAUCUCGGUUAGAUAAUCGGUAAAGGUUGGUUUGCAGGUUGUACCGGGACCAACUACGAGAGGAAAAAUUGGUGGUUAAAACAUUUUUAGUCGCUAUAACCAGCUUAUUGUUUAGGGAAGAAGACUAAUUUUCGAGGAUCGGUUCAAAGAUCGGAAUUCACCAAGUUUAAGGCUAAGGCUUACUUUUUCUGUUGUCAAAACUCAAAUUCAUUUUCUAAUUUAAUUUUACUUUUGAUCUCUUUAAUUGCUUACUUCUAUUAUCUUAAUUAUUUAAUUUCUAGACAUUUCCAACUCUCUAAUUUAUUUUUAAAAAAAGAUCGUUUGAAUUGAGUAACCGGGUUAAGGUGUUUGGGUUGUCAUCCUAGUUCGCGUAAAAAGGUUUGACUACUUCCAAAAUAAAAUAAAAAUAUUAUUAUUGCAUGAUUAAUUGAAAAUAAUACCUUGCAAAUUUUGGUUCAAACUCAAUUUAGUGAAAUGAUUUA
RNAcentral lists this long non-coding RNA (10913 nucleotides) under Gossypium barbadense (sea-island cotton). RNAcentral's name for it is "long non-coding RNA (GBAR_LNC001229)". The record is from RNAcentral. Lineage: Eukaryota; Viridiplantae; Streptophyta; Magnoliopsida; Malvales; Malvaceae.